Molecule: ribosomal RNA, 236 nt
Filed under: uncultured bacterium
Lineage: Bacteria
Description: partial 16S ribosomal RNA
Rfam family: Bacterial small subunit ribosomal RNA
Source: RNAcentral
CGGGACGGGUGAGUAACGCGUGGGUAACCUGCCUCACACUGGGGGAUAACAGUUAGAAAUAGCUGCUAAUACCGCAUAAGCGCACAGUUCCGCAUGGAGCAGUGUGAAAAACUCCGGUGGUACAAGAUGGACCCGCGUCUGAUUAGAUAGUUGGUGAGGUAACGGCCCACCAAGGCGACGAUCCAUAGCCGACCUGAGAGGGUGAACGGCCACAUUGGGACUGAGACACGGCCCAA